CGAGUGGAGUAGGCAAAAUGUUUAGUGUUUGAACCAGUUUUGAAAUAUCCAUGGAUAUGUCUGCUGGGGAUGCAACACCACGAUCAACUGAUGAUGAAGGUACUGGCUUAAUCAAGGCAGUAUUGUAUCCUCUAAUAUCUGCCACAUCCUCAGCCAUUUGAACACGAGAAACCCUGUCUGGUCCACCAACGUUUAGAAGCAGCUGCAUUUGCUUGCGCUCCGACAUCCAUAUGUUUGUCAAAGACAGUAUGAUAGCUAUGACAUCCUUGACAUACACAGGGCAGCGGAACUCAUCGUGGAAAAACUCUGCCGGUUCUCCUUUGGAGAGGAUAGCAUCAAUCCACUGAAUUGGAAGAGAUUUUGGAACAGGUGAAAUAGUCUGUGGCCCAAAGAUGAUACUGCUUCUCAGAAUUGCAAAGUUUGAACAUUUCUCAUAAAUAAAUUGCUCUGCUGCCACUUUUGAUUUUCCAUACACAUUCACAGGAGCAGUUUCAUCUUCUUCCUUGUAGAAGGAUUUCACCCCUUCAUAAACUUGAUCAGUUGAUAAAUGGAUAAGAAGACUCUCUCUUUCUUGAAAGCUUGAUAGCCAAUUUACAAGGGAGCGAGGUACAUUUAUAGACAUAGCAGUGGCAGGAUCCUUUUCACACGCACGAGGUACUGAGAUUGCAGCACAAUUCACAACAACAUGAGGCUGGCCAAAUUGAUGUGAGAUGGCUUGAAAUCCCUCUCCGGAUUGCAAAUCGACAUGGAAAGCGAGGGAGUGAGGAAUGGCAUCGAGCAAGAGCUGAGGAGGAGUGGAACUGGAGUGGUGGGUGAAGGCAAGAUUAAAAGGGCUGUCUUUGAUCUGUGAAAGGCCUUGCAAUAGGUGUUGCCCUAAGUAGCCUGUUCCUCCUAUUACCAACACUUUGUUCUUACUCUCCAUCUGUCUCUCCAGGAGGAAAUGCCGCUGAAUUGCACUCUAAGCUUGAGUAAGGCCCU
This 978-nucleotide unclassified non-coding RNA is filed under the name Hevea brasiliensis (rubber tree). The record is from RNAcentral. Lineage: Eukaryota; Viridiplantae; Streptophyta; Magnoliopsida; Malpighiales; Euphorbiaceae.